AGAAUCAACGCUGGCGGCGUGCCUAACACAUGCAAGUCGUACGAGAAAGUGGAGCAAUCCAUGAGUACAGUGGCGACCGGGUGAGUAACACGUGACUAACCUACCCUCGAGUGGGGAAUAACUCCGGGAAACCGGAGCUAAUACCGCAUAAUAUCGCGAGAUCAAAGCAGCAAUGCGCUUGAGGAGGGGGUCGCGGCUGAUUAGCUAGUUGGCGGGUAACGGCCCACCAAGGCGAAGAUCGGUA
This 244-nucleotide ribosomal RNA is filed under the name uncultured bacterium. RNAcentral's name for it is "partial small subunit ribosomal RNA". It matches the Rfam family "Bacterial small subunit ribosomal RNA", at positions 26 to 285 of the family's 1533-position model. The record is from RNAcentral.